RNAcentral lists this ribosomal RNA (325 nucleotides) under uncultured eukaryote. RNAcentral describes it as "partial 18S ribosomal RNA". It matches the Rfam family "Eukaryotic small subunit ribosomal RNA", at positions 1470 to 1796 of the family's 1831-position model. The record is from RNAcentral.
CCCUUAGGUGUUCUGGGCCGCACGCGCGCUACACUGAUGCAUUCAACAAGUUCUACCUUGGCCGAGAGGCCUGGGAAAUCUUUCAAAUAUGUAUCGUGAUAGGGAUAGAUUAUUGCAAUUAUUAAUCUUGAACGAGGAAUUCCUAGUAAAUGCAGAUCAUCAUUCUGCGUUGAUUACGUCCCUGCCCUUUGUACACACCGCCCGUCGCACCUACCGAUUGAAUGAUCCGGUGAAGCCUCGGGAUUGUGCCCAGAGAACUUUAUUGUGAUUUGGGUGUGAGAACUUGUCUAAACCUUAUCAUUUAGAGGAAGGUGAAGUCGUAACA